RNAcentral lists this ribosomal RNA (254 nucleotides) under uncultured bacterium. RNAcentral's name for it is "partial 16S ribosomal RNA". It matches the Rfam family "Bacterial small subunit ribosomal RNA", at positions 524 to 776 of the family's 1533-position model. The record is from RNAcentral.
UACGUAGGGGGCGAGCGUUGUCCGGAUUUAUUGGGCGUAAAGAGCUCGUAGGCGGCUUGGCAAGUCGGGUGUGAAACCUCCAGGCUCAACCUGGAGACGCCACUCGAUACUGCUAUGGCUAGAGUCCGGUAGGGGACCACGGAAUUCCUGGUGUAGCGGUGAAAUGCGCAGAUAUCAGGAAGAACACCCGUAGCGAAGGCGGCACUCUGGGCCGGUACUGACGCUGAGGAGCGAAAGCGUGGGGAGCAAACAGG